UUGAACGCUGGCGGCAUGCCUUACACAUGCAAGUCGAACGGUAACGCGGGGCGACCUGGCGACGAGUGGCGAACGGGUGAGUAACGCAUCGGAACGUGCCCAACAGUGGGGGAUAGCCCGGCGAAAGCCGGAUUAAUACCGCAUACGACCUGAGGGUGAAAGCGGGGGACCGUAAGGCCUCGCGCUGUUGGAGCGGCCGAUGUCAGAUUAGGUUGUUGGUGGGGUAAAAGCCUACCAAGCCGACGAUCUGUAGCUGGGCUGAGAGGACGACCAGCCACACUGGGACUGAGACACGGCCCAGACUCCUACGGGAGGCAGCAGUGGGGAAUUUUGGACAAUGGGCGCAAGCCUGAUCCAGCCAUGCCGCGUGCGGGAUGAAGGCCUUCGGGUUGUAAACCGCUUUUGUCAGGGAAGAAACGCUCCGGGCCAAUACCCUGGGGUAAUGACGGUACCUGAAGAAUAAGCACCGGCUAACUACGU
RNAcentral lists this ribosomal RNA (480 nucleotides) under uncultured bacterium. Its description in RNAcentral is "bacterial SSU rRNA". It matches the Rfam family "Bacterial small subunit ribosomal RNA", at positions 29 to 506 of the family's 1533-position model. The record is from RNAcentral.